CCCUUAGAUGUCCUGGGCCGCACGCGCGCUACACUGAUGCAUUCAACGAGUUUCACCUUGGCCGAGAGGCCUGGGCAAUCUUUUAAACCUGCAUCGUGAUAGGGAUAGAUUAUUGCAAUUGUUAAUCUUGAACGAGGAAUUCCUAGUAAACGCAAAUCAUCAAUUUGCAUUGAUUACGUCCCUGCCCUUUGUACACACCGCCCGUCGCUCCUACCGAUUGAAUGAUCCGAUGAAUAUCAUGGAUUGAGGAUGCAAGCAGGUUCGCCUGUCUUCAUCUUCGAGAAGUGAAGUAAAUCUUAUCAUUUAGAGGAAGGAGAAGUCGUAACA
This 327-nucleotide ribosomal RNA is filed under the name uncultured eukaryote. RNAcentral's name for it is "partial 18S ribosomal RNA". It matches the Rfam family "Eukaryotic small subunit ribosomal RNA", at positions 1470 to 1796 of the family's 1831-position model. The record is from RNAcentral.